UGGUGUCAAAUCUUUUGGAUAUUUUUUUCC
RNAcentral lists this non-coding RNA (30 nucleotides) under Rattus norvegicus (Norway rat). The record is from RNAcentral. Lineage: Eukaryota; Metazoa; Chordata; Mammalia; Rodentia; Muridae.